This 407-nucleotide ribosomal RNA is filed under the name Phrynopus tautzorum. Its description in RNAcentral is "partial 12S ribosomal RNA". It matches the Rfam family "Bacterial small subunit ribosomal RNA", at positions 791 to 1405 of the family's 1533-position model. Lineage: Eukaryota; Metazoa; Chordata; Amphibia; Anura; Strabomantidae. The record is from RNAcentral.
UAUGCCAAGUCGUAAACUUUAACUUACACCCCCUCCACUCGCCAGGAAACUACGAGCUAAGCUUAAAACCCAAAGGACUUGACGGUGCCCCACAUCCCCCUAGAGGAGCCUGUCCCGUAAUUGAUGACCCCCGCUAAACCUCACCAUUCUUAGCCUAUCAGCCUGUAUACUUCCGUCGUCAGCUAACCACAUGAGUGAAGCUCAGUAAGCCCAAUGGUUAUCCACCAAAACGUCAGGUCAAGGUGCAGCAAAUAGAAUGGGAUCAGAUGGGCUACACUUUCUAAUAUAGAAAAUAACGAAAGACUACGUGAAACCUCAGUCAGAAGGUGGAUUUAGAAGUAAAAAGAAAUCAGAGAGUUCUUUUUAACCUGGUACUGGGGUGUGUACACACCGCCCCGUCACCCUCA